Molecule: ribosomal RNA, 505 nt
Filed under: uncultured bacterium
Lineage: Bacteria
Description: partial 16S ribosomal RNA
Rfam family: Bacterial small subunit ribosomal RNA
Source: RNAcentral
GACGAACGCUGGCGGCGUGCCUAAUACAUGCAAGUAGAACGCACAGUUUAUACCGUAGCUUGCUACACCAUAGACUGUGAGUUGCGAACGGGUGAGUAACGCGUAGGUAACCUGCCUGGUAGCGGGGGAUAACUAUUGGAAACGAUAGCUAAUACCGCAUAAUAUUGAUUAUUGCAUGAUAAUUGAUUGAAAGAUGCUAUUGCAUCACUACCAGAUGGACCUGCGUUGUAUUAGCUAGUAGGUGAGGUAACGGCUCACCUAGGCGACGAUACAUAGCCGACCUGAGAGGGUGAUCGGCCACACUGGGACUGAGACACGGCCCAGACUCCUACGGGAGGCAGCAGUAGGGAAUCUUCGGCAAUGGACGCAAGUCUGACCGAGCAACGCCGCGUGAGUGAAGAAGGUUUUCGGAUCGUAAAGCUCUGUUGUAAGAGAAGAACGGGUGUGAGAGUGGAAAGUUCACACUGUGACGGUAUCUUACCAGAAAGGGACGGCUAACUACGUG